AUUGAACGCUGGCGGCAUGCCUAACACAUGCAAGUCGAACGGGGUGUAGCAAUACAUCUAGUGGCGGACGGGUGAGGAAUACAUAGGAAUUUGCCCUUAAGUGGGGGAUAGUCCGGGGAAACUCGGUUUAAUACCGCAUGAUCUCGUGAGAGCAAAGCAGGGGACCGCAAGGCCUUGCGCUUUUGGGGAAGCCUAUGUCGGAUUAGCUAGUUGGUAGGGUAAUGGCCUACCAAGGCGACGAUCCGUAACUGGUCUGAGAGGAUGAUCAGUCACACCGGAACUGAGACACGGUCCGGACUCCUACGGGAGGCAGCAGUGGGGAAUAUUGGACAAUGGGCGCAAGCCUGAUCCAGCAAUGCCGCGUGU
Molecule: ribosomal RNA, 366 nt
Filed under: uncultured bacterium
Lineage: Bacteria
Description: bacterial SSU rRNA
Rfam family: Bacterial small subunit ribosomal RNA
Source: RNAcentral